ACUCAAAUGAAUUGACGGGGGCCCGCACAAGCAGCGGAGCGUGUGGUUUAAUUCGAUGCAACGCGAAGAACCUUACCUGGGCUUGACAUGUGCCGGACAGCGGCGGAAACGCCGUCUCCCUUCGGGGCCGGUGCACAGGUGCUGCAUGGCUGUCGUCAGCUCGUGCCGUGAGGUGUUGGGUUAAGUCCCGCAACGAGCGCAACCCCCGCCGGUAGUUGCCACUUUCUACCGGGACUGCCGGGCCAAACCCGGAGGAAGGUGGGGAUGACGUCAAGUCAGCACGGCCCUGACGUCCAGGGCUACACACACGCUACAAUGGCCGGUCCAGAGGGCGGCGAAGGCGCGAGCCGGAGCGAAUCCCAGAAAGCCGGCCCCAGUGCAGAUGGCAGGCUGCAACUCGCCUGCCUGAAGGCGGAGUUGCUAGUAACCGCCGGUCAGCACACGGCGGUGAAUACGUUCCCGGGCCUUGUACACACCGCCCGU
This 483-nucleotide ribosomal RNA is filed under the name uncultured bacterium. RNAcentral's name for it is "partial 16S ribosomal RNA". It matches the Rfam family "Bacterial small subunit ribosomal RNA", at positions 899 to 1397 of the family's 1533-position model. The record is from RNAcentral.